RNAcentral lists this ribosomal RNA (440 nucleotides) under uncultured bacterium. Its description in RNAcentral is "bacterial SSU rRNA". It matches the Rfam family "Bacterial small subunit ribosomal RNA", at positions 954 to 1392 of the family's 1533-position model. The record is from RNAcentral.
GCAUAACGCGAAGAACCUUACCAGGUCUUGACAUCCCUCUGACCGGUGCAGAGAUGUGCCUUUCCUUCGGGACAGAGGAGACAGGUGGUGCAUGGUUGUCGUCAGCUCGUGUCGUGAGAUGUUGGGUUAAGUCCCGCAACGAGCGCAACCCUUGACUUUAGUUGCCAGCACUUCGGGUGGGCACUCUAGAGUGACUGCCGGUGACAAACCGGAGGAAGGCGGGGAUGACGUCAAAUCAUCAUGCCCCUUAUGACCUGGGCUACACACGUACUACAAUGGCCGGUACAACGGGCAGCGAAGGAGCGAUCUGGAGCCAAUCCUAUCAAAGCCGGUCUCAGUUCGGAUUGCAGGCUGCAACUCGCCUGCAUGAAGUCGGAAUUGCUAGUAAUCGCGGAUCAGCAUUGCUGCGGUGAAUACGUUCCCGGGUCUUGUACACACCG